UAGGGAAUCUUCCACAAUGGGCGCAAGCCUGAUGGAGCAACACCGCGUGAGUGAAGAAGGGUUUCGGCUCGUAAAGCUCUGUUGUUAGAGAAGAACGUGCGUGAGAGCAACUGUUCACGCAGUGACGGUAUCUAACCAGAAAGUCACGGCUAACUACGUGCCAC
Molecule: ribosomal RNA, 164 nt
Filed under: uncultured bacterium
Lineage: Bacteria
Description: partial 16S rRNA
Rfam family: Bacterial small subunit ribosomal RNA
Source: RNAcentral